RNAcentral lists this ribosomal RNA (253 nucleotides) under uncultured bacterium. RNAcentral's name for it is "partial 16S ribosomal RNA". It matches the Rfam family "Bacterial small subunit ribosomal RNA", at positions 524 to 776 of the family's 1533-position model. The record is from RNAcentral.
UACGGGGGGGGUAAGCGUUGUUCGGAAUUACUGGGCGUAAAGGGCUCGUAGGCGGCCAACUAAGUCAGACGUGAAAUCCCUCAGCUUAACUGGGGAACUGCGUCUGAUACUGGAUGGCUUGGAUCCGGAAGAGGGAUGCGGAAUUCCAGGUGUAGCGGUGAAAUGCGUAGAGAUGCGGAGGAACACCGGUGGCGAAGGCGACCAUCUGGACGGAUACUGACGCUGAGACGCGAAAGCGUGGGUAGCAAACAGG